Molecule: ribosomal RNA, 253 nt
Filed under: uncultured bacterium
Lineage: Bacteria
Description: partial 16S ribosomal RNA
Rfam family: Bacterial small subunit ribosomal RNA
Source: RNAcentral
AACGUAGGACACAAGCGUUAUCCGGAGUUACUGGGCGUAAAGGGCGUGUAGGCGGAUCGGUAAGUCUACUCUGAAAGCUCCUGGCUAAACUGGGAGAGGCGAGUGGAGACUGUCGGUCUAGAGUGAGGAAGAGGAAAGUGGAAUUCCGCGUGUAGUGGUGAAAUUCGUAGAUAUUCGGAGGAACACCAGUGGCGAAGGCGGCUCACUGGCUCGAUACUGACGCUGAGGUGCGAAAGCGUGGGGAGCAAACAGG